This 748-nucleotide ribosomal RNA is filed under the name uncultured Actinomycetes bacterium. Its description in RNAcentral is "bacterial SSU rRNA". It matches the Rfam family "Bacterial small subunit ribosomal RNA", at positions 116 to 878 of the family's 1533-position model. The record is from RNAcentral. Lineage: Bacteria; Bacillati; Actinomycetota; Actinomycetes.
CGUGAGCAAUCUACCUUAGUUACUGGGAUAGCCCGAGGAAACUCGGAUUAAUACCGGAUAAUCUUAUUACAUCACGUGAUAUUUUAAGUAAAGGUCAGCCGAACUAAGAUGAGCUCGCGUUCUAUCAGCUAGUUGGUGGGGUAAAAGCCUACCAAGGCUACGACGGAUAGCUGGUCUGAGAGGACGAUCAGCCACACUGGGACUGAGACACGGCCCAGACUCCUACGGGAGGCUGCAGCAGGGAAUAUUGCGCAAUGAGCGAAAGCUUGACGCAGCGACACCGCGUGUGGGAUGACGGUUCUAGGAUUGUAAACCACUUUCAGGAGGGAAGAAAAUGACGGUACCUCCAUAAGAAGCCCCGGCCAACUACGUGCCAGCAGCCGCGGUAAUACGUAGGGGGCGAGCGUUGUCCGGAUUUAUUGGGCGUAAAGAGCUCGUAGGCGGUUCAACAAGUCGGUCGUGAAAGUUCAGGGCUUAACCCUGAAAUGUCGAUCGAUACUGUUGUGACUAGGAUAUGGUAGAGGUGAGUGGAAUUCCAAGUGUAGCGGUGAAAUGCGUAGAUAUUCGGAGGAACACCAAUAGCGAAGGCAGCUCACUGGGCCACUAUCGACGCUGAGGAGCGAAAGCUAGGGGAGCAAACAGGAUUAGAUACCCUGGUAGUCCUAGCUGUAAACGAUGGAUACUAGAUGUAGGAAUUGGAUUGACGAUUUCUGUAUCGUAGCUAACGCGUUAAGUAUCCCGCCUGGGA